UACGGAAGGGGCAAGCGUUGUUCGGAAUCAUUGGGCGUAAAGGGCGCGCAGGUGGCUCUGUAUGUCUGCCGUGAAAGCAUACAGCUCAACUGUAUUGUGUCGGUAGAAAACUGCAGGACUUGAGGCUGGGAGGGGCUGGUGGAAUUCCCUGUGUAGCGGUGAAAUGCGUAGAGAUGGGGGAGAACACUCGUGGCGAAGGCGGCCAGCUAGACCAGUUCUGACACUGAGGCGCGACAGCGUGGGGAGCAAACAGG
RNAcentral lists this ribosomal RNA (254 nucleotides) under uncultured bacterium. RNAcentral's name for it is "partial 16S ribosomal RNA". It matches the Rfam family "Bacterial small subunit ribosomal RNA", at positions 524 to 776 of the family's 1533-position model. The record is from RNAcentral.